AACGAACGCUGGCGGCAGGCCUAACACAUGCAAGUCGAGCGAGGACUUCGGUCCUAGCGGCGGACGGGUGAGUAACGCGUGGGAACGUGCCCUUUGCUUCGGAAUAGCCCUGGGAAACUGGGAGUAAUACCGGAUGAGCCCUUUGGGGGAAAGAUUUAUCGGCGAAGGAUCGGCCCGCGUUGGAUUAGGUAGUUGGUGGGGUAAUGGCCUACCAAGCCGACGAUCCAUAGCUGGUUUGAGAGGAUGAUCAGCCACACUGGGACUGAGGCACGGCCCAGACUCCUACGGGAGGCAGCAGUGGGGAAUCUUAGGCAAUGGGGGAAACCCUGAUCCAGCCAUGCCGCGUGAGCGAUGAAGGCCUUAGGGUUGUAAAGCUCUUUCAGCUGGGAAGAUAAUGACGGUACCAGCAGAAGAAGCCCCGGCUAACUCCGUG
This 433-nucleotide ribosomal RNA is filed under the name uncultured bacterium. Its description in RNAcentral is "partial 16S ribosomal RNA". It matches the Rfam family "Bacterial small subunit ribosomal RNA", at positions 29 to 507 of the family's 1533-position model. The record is from RNAcentral.